Molecule: ribosomal RNA, 748 nt
Filed under: uncultured prokaryote
Description: bacterial SSU rRNA
Rfam family: Bacterial small subunit ribosomal RNA
Source: RNAcentral
GGCAGCUUGCUGGACUGUAACUGACGCUGAGGCACGAAAGCGUGGGGAUCAAACAGGAUUAGAUACCCUGGUAGNNCACGCCGUAAACGAUGAAUGCUAGCUGUUAGCGAUAUACUGUUAGCGGCACAGAGAAAUCGUUAAGCAUUCCACCUGGGGAGUACGCCGGCAACGGUGAAACUCAAAGGAAUUGACGGGGGNCCGCACAAGCGGAGGAACAUGUGGUUUAAUUCGAUGAUACGCGAGGAACCUUACCUGGGCUUAAAUUGCAGUGGAAUAACGUGGAAACAUGUUAGCCUUCGGGCCGCUGUGAAGGUGCUGCAUGGUUGUCGUCAGCUCGUGCCGUGAGGUGUCGGCUUAAGUGCCAUAACGAGCGCAACCCUCAUCGAUAGUUACUAACAGGUUAAGCUGAGGACUCUAUCGAGACUGCCGACGUAAGUCGUGAGGAAGGUGGGGAUGACGUCAAAUCAGCACGGCCCUUACGUCCAGGGCUACACACGUGUUACAAUGGGGGGUACAAAGGGCAGCUACCUGGCGACAGGAUGCUAAUCUCUAAAACCUCUCUCAGUUCGGAUUGGAGUCUGCAACCCGACUCCAUGAAGCUGGAUUCGCUAGUAAUCGCGCAUCAGCCACGGCGCGGUGAAUACGUUCCCGGGCCUUGUACACACCGCCCGUCAAGCCAUGGGAGCCGGGGGGACCUGAAGUAUGCAACCGUAAGGAGCGUCCUAGGGUAAAACUGGUGACUGGGGCU